UACGUAGGGUGCAAGCGUUGUCCGGAAUUAUUGGGCGUAAAGAGCUCGUAGGCGGCUUGUCGCGUUCGGCUGUGAAAACCUGAGGCUCAACCUCGGGCUUGCAGCCGAUACGGGCAAGCUAGAAUUCGGUAGGGGAGACUGGAAUUCCUGGUGUAGCGGUGAAAUGCGCAGAUAUCAGGAGGAACACCGGUGGCGAAGGCGGGUCUCUGGGCCGAUAUUGACGCUGAGGAGCGAAAGCGUGGGGAGCAAACAGG
Molecule: ribosomal RNA, 254 nt
Filed under: uncultured bacterium
Lineage: Bacteria
Description: partial 16S ribosomal RNA
Rfam family: Bacterial small subunit ribosomal RNA
Source: RNAcentral